RNAcentral lists this RNase P RNA (380 nucleotides) under Ferruginibacter sp. RNAcentral describes it as "RNase P RNA component class A". It matches the Rfam family "Bacterial RNase P class A". From Rfam's summary of the family: Ribonuclease P (RNase P) is a ubiquitous endoribonuclease, found in archaea, bacteria and eukarya as well as chloroplasts and mitochondria. Its best characterised activity is the generation of mature 5'-ends of tRNAs by cleaving the 5'-leader elements of precursor-tRNAs. Lineage: Bacteria; Pseudomonadati; Bacteroidota; Chitinophagia; Chitinophagales; Chitinophagaceae. The record is from RNAcentral.
ACUAUCAGCCGGUUAUCGCUCCAUGAAAAUGGUGAGGAAAGUCCGGACAGCAGAGGGCAGCAUACCGGUUAAGCGCCGGCUUCCCUGUUCAGCAGGGAAAGAGAAAGUGCCACAGAAAAUAACUGUCCUGAGCAAUCGGGAUGAGGGUGAAAACGUGAGGUAAGAGCUCACGGUAAGUUUCAGUAAUGAGGCUUACGGGUAAACCUUAUGCGCUGUAAUGCCAUGUAAAUCAGUGUUGGAGGGCGGCUCGUCCGAAUCGUCGCAAGACGUGCGCUGAAGGGUAGGCAGCUAGAUUGUGUCAGCAAUGGCGCAGCAAGAUAAAUGAUGACCUCCGGAAUAUUAUUCCGGUUACAGAAUCCGGCUUAUGACUGAUAGAUUUU